This 501-nucleotide ribosomal RNA is filed under the name uncultured bacterium. Its description in RNAcentral is "partial 16S ribosomal RNA". It matches the Rfam family "Bacterial small subunit ribosomal RNA", at positions 30 to 523 of the family's 1533-position model. The record is from RNAcentral.
AUUGAACGCUGGCGGCAGGCUUAACACAUGCAAGUCGAGCGGGGGAAGGUAGCUUGCUACCGGACCUAGCAGCGGACGGGUGAGUAAUGCUUAGGAAUCUGCCUAUUAGUGGGGGACGUCAUCUCGAAAGGGAUGCUAAUACCGCAUACGUCCUACGGGAGAAAGCAGGGGAUCUUCGGACCUUGCGCUAAUAGCUGAGCCUAAGUCGGAGUAGCUGGUUGGUGGGGUAAAGGCCUACCAAGGCGACGAUCUGUAGCGGGUCUGAGAGGAUGAUCCGCCACACUGGGACUGAGACACGGCCCAGACUCCUACGGGAGGCAGCAGUGGGGAAUAUUGGACAAUGGGGGGGACCCUGAUCCAGCCAUGCCGCGUGUGUGAAGAAGGCCUUAUGGUUGUAAAGCACUUUAAGCGAGGAGGAGGCUACUUUAGUUAAUACCUAGAGAUAGUGGACGUUACUCGCAGAAUAAGCACCGGCUAACUCUGUGCCAGCAGCCGCAGUAA